GUGGGGAAUAUUGGGCAAUGGGGGAAACCCUGACCCAGCAACGCCGCGUGAAGGAAGAAGGUUUUCGGAUCGUAAACUUCUAUCCUUGGUGAAGAUAAUGACGGUAGCCAAGAAGGAAGCCCCGGCUAACUACGUGCCAGCAGCCGCGGUAAUACGUAGGGGGCAAGCGUUGUCCGGAAUGAUUGGGCGUAAAGGGCGCGUAGGCGGCCUGGUAAGUCUGGAGUGAAAGUCCUGCUUUUAAGGUGGGAAUUGCUUUGGAUACUGUCGGGCUUGAGUGCAGGAGAGGUAAGCGGAAUUCCCGGGGUAGCGGUGAAAUGCGUAGAGAUCGGGAGGAACACCAGUGGCGAAGGCGACUUACUGGACUGUAACUGACGCUGAGGCGCGAAAGUGUGGGGAGCAAACAGGAUUAGAUACCCGGGUAGUCC
RNAcentral lists this ribosomal RNA (425 nucleotides) under uncultured bacterium. RNAcentral's name for it is "partial 16S ribosomal RNA". It matches the Rfam family "Bacterial small subunit ribosomal RNA", at positions 354 to 796 of the family's 1533-position model. The record is from RNAcentral.